Molecule: unclassified non-coding RNA, 419 nt
Filed under: Hevea brasiliensis (rubber tree)
Lineage: Eukaryota; Viridiplantae; Streptophyta; Magnoliopsida; Malpighiales; Euphorbiaceae
Source: RNAcentral
GGGAAAUCUUAUGGGCUCAGCACAUAGUUUGAUUUGAUCAUCUCACAACAGAAAAGCAAGAUUUUAAUAGACUGCUAACGUAAACCAAAGGAUUAAAUAUAAUAUGAAGCAAUAACUUUGCAUCAUUUGAAAUAAUAACCAUGCACUAAUGUAGAUGCUAAAAAAUCAUUAAUAUUCUUCACCAAUUAUACAAAUCACCAUUUUCCUCCACACGAGAGGUUUUAUAAUUGACAAUAACUGCAAAAAUUGGACAACAUUGUUCUCAGAAGGAGGGUAAAUCAUAUAAUGUAUGCAGCCAAAUGUGAUAUAAUAUAUGCUAUAGCACUGUAAAAACAAAUAUUUAUCACAUAAGAAAGAUAAGAAAAAGCAAGAGUUAAAUCUUCAAUUUUAAUAAGAAAAGGAAUUUUCUAGAGAAAAAA